This 87-nucleotide transfer RNA is filed under the name Acidilobales archaeon. RNAcentral's name for it is "tRNA-Ser". It matches the Rfam family "tRNA". From Rfam's summary of the family: Transfer RNA (tRNA) molecules are approximately 80 nucleotides in length. Their secondary structure includes four short double-helical elements and three loops (D, anti-codon, and T loops). Lineage: Archaea; Thermoproteati; Thermoproteota; Thermoprotei; Acidilobales. The record is from RNAcentral.
GCCGGGGUGCCCGAGUGGCCCAAGGGGGUGGGCUCGAGACCCACUGGGGCUCCCAACCCCGCGCGGGUUCGAAUCCCGCCCCCGGCG